GCAGUCGAACGAUCCACUGGAUUUCGGUUUAGUGGAUAGUGGCGAACGGGUGAGUACAAAAUAGGUAACGUGCCUUGAUCACAGGGAUACCGUCGGGAGCUUGCUCCCUUUGCGAAAGUGGCGUUAAUACCUGAUGACAUUUCGAAUUGGCAUCUUUUUGAAAUCAAAGGUGGGGAUCUUCGGACCUGCCGGAUUGAGAUCGGCCUAUUUCCUAUCAGCUUGUUGGUGAGGUAACGGCUCACCAAGGCAACGACGGGUAGCGGGACUGAGAGGUUGGCCCGCCACAUCGGAACUGAGACACUGUCCGGACACCUACGGGUGGCUGCAGUAACGAAUAUUCCGCAAUGGGCGAAAGCCUGACGGAGCAAUGCCGCGUGGAGGACGAAUUCCCUCGGGAUGUAAACUCCUUUUAGGUCUAUGAAAGCGAAGGCGGUUAAUACCCGUCUAAGUUGAUCUAAGCCAGAAAA
Molecule: ribosomal RNA, 467 nt
Filed under: uncultured bacterium
Lineage: Bacteria
Description: bacterial SSU rRNA
Rfam family: Bacterial small subunit ribosomal RNA
Source: RNAcentral